Mercurialis annua (annual mercury) is the source of this 773-nucleotide long non-coding RNA. RefSeq lists it as uncharacterized. Lineage: Eukaryota; Viridiplantae; Streptophyta; Magnoliopsida; Malpighiales; Euphorbiaceae. The record is from RefSeq and is a predicted model, not a curated record. The transcript has 2 exons.
AAAAAUCUCUCUAAUAAUUAAUAUUCAUGUAGAAUAUAUUUUAAAUUUUAUUAAUUAUUAAAUAAUAGAAUUAUUAAUUACCCGACGUGGAACGAAGUUGGUUCUCUCAAUUUUCUAUUAAUUAUUAGAAUUAUUAAUUUAUAGAAUAUUAACUAUUAGAGGGUCAUCUGUACCACCAAUUGGAUGUUUUCCAUUAUAUAGACGUCCGGGAUCAUGUGAUGAAACUCUGAAUAACGCAGCACUUUUAUUAAAUUCUAAAUUGUCUCACAAAUUGGCUGAUCUUGGAGCCGAAAGCCAACUUAAUAGCACCCAAAUUGUCUUUAUGAAUAUUUACGAGGACUAUAUGGGACUUAUCCAAAAUGGAACACAAUUUGGUUUCGACGUUGUAACUAAAGCAUGUUGUGGAAUAGGAAAUUCAAAUACUAAAUAUUUAUGUAAUAAAGUAAAUCCGAGUUUAUGUGACAUGAAAGGGCUCAACUAUUUAUUUUGGGAUGGCCAUCAUCUUACAGAGAAGUUAUACAAUACGCUUGCUUUAGCGUUUUUCGGCAAAUAUAUGGACAAAUUUACAAAACCUUAUUGAAAGACCCUAUGGGUUAUAAGGCAAACCGGUUUUUGAUUUGUGAAUCGGAAAUUUAAAUUCUUUAAAGCGGAAAAGAGAAUUUAAAGACACAAGAGAUUUAGAGUGGUUCGGAUCAACUCACGAUCCUACUCCACUACUCAAUCUAAGAUUGAGAUUUUAGAAUCCACUAAAUGGGAUUGUGCUUUAUAGAUAA